Molecule: ribosomal RNA, 253 nt
Filed under: uncultured bacterium
Lineage: Bacteria
Description: partial 16S ribosomal RNA
Rfam family: Bacterial small subunit ribosomal RNA
Source: RNAcentral
GACGAACCGAGCGAACGUUAUUCGGAAUCACUGGGCUUAAAGGGUGCGUAGGCGGGCCCGUCAGUCAGGGGUGAAAUCCCACGGCCCAACCGUGGAAGUGCCUCUGAUACUGCGGGCCUGGAGGGGGAUAGGGGCGUGCGGAACUUCCGGUGGAGCGGUGAAAUGCGUAGAUAUCGGAAGGAACACCGGUGGCGAAGGCAGCUCGCUGGGACGGUACUGACGCUGAGGCGCGAAAGCGUGGGGAGCGAACAGG